Non-coding RNA from Mucidula mucida, 87 nucleotides. The record is from the annotation of a GenBank genome assembly. NCBI's taxonomy places the organism in Eukaryota, Fungi, Basidiomycota, Agaricomycetes, Agaricales, Physalacriaceae.
GGGGACAUAGCUCAGUUGGGAGAGCAACAGACUGAAGUCUCAAUGUGAUUAUUCUGGAGGUCCCCAGUUCAAUCCUGGGUGUCCCCA